RNAcentral lists this unclassified non-coding RNA (370 nucleotides) under uncultured bacterium. RNAcentral describes it as "contains 16S-23S intergenic spacer region". The record is from RNAcentral.
UCCUCUUUACAGAGGCAGUUUGUUCCGAGUUCCCGGCUUUACCCGCUGGUAACAGAACAUGAGGGUUGCGCUCGUUGCGGGACUUAACCCAACAUUUCACAACACGAGCUGACGACAGCCAUGCACCACCUGUGCAACUGCCCGAAGGCGGCUCCUUUUCGGGAGCAUUCAGCUGCAUGUCAAGCCCUGGUAAGGUUCUUCGCGUUGCAUCGAAUUAAGCCACAUGCUCCACCGCUUGUGCGGGCCCCCGCCAAUUCCUUUGAGUUUCAACCUUGCGGCCGUAGUCCCCAGGCGGUUCACUUAAUGCGUUAGCUGCGGCACCGAAGGAAACCCCCGACACCUAGUGAACAUCGUUUAUGGCUAUGACUAC